This 483-nucleotide ribosomal RNA is filed under the name uncultured bacterium. Its description in RNAcentral is "partial 16S ribosomal RNA". It matches the Rfam family "Bacterial small subunit ribosomal RNA", at positions 28 to 507 of the family's 1533-position model. The record is from RNAcentral.
GACGAACGCUGGCGGCGUGCUUAACACAUGCAAGUCGAACGCUGAAGCUCAGCUUUUGUUGGGUGGAUGAGUGGCGAACGGGUGAGUAACACGUGAGUAACCUGCCCCCUUCUUUGGGAUAACGCCCGGAAACGGGUGCUAAUACUGGAUAUUCACUGGUCUUCGCAUGGGGGUUGGUGGAAAGGGUUUUUCUGGUGGGGGAUGGGCUCGCGGCCUAUCCGCUUGUUGGUGGGGUGAUGGCCUACCAAGGCUUUGACGGGUAGCCGGCCUGAGAGGGUGACCGGUCACAGUGGGACUGAGAUACGGCCCAGACUCCUACGGGAAGCAGCAGGGGGGAAUAUUGCACAAGGGGCGCAAGCAUGAUGCAGCGACGCCGCGUGAGGGAUGGAGGCCUUCGGGUUGUGAACCUCUUUCGCUCAUGGUCAAGCCGCAACAAUGGUUGUGGUGAGGGUAGUGGGUAAAGAAGCGCCGGCUAACUACGUG